RNAcentral lists this ribosomal RNA (606 nucleotides) under Triticum aestivum (bread wheat). RNAcentral describes it as "partial small subunit ribosomal RNA". Lineage: Eukaryota; Viridiplantae; Streptophyta; Magnoliopsida; Poales; Poaceae. The record is from RNAcentral.
AUGGUGGCCACGAUCGAGGACCUGCACGCGGACGUGCUGGCCUGCGCGCUGCGCCGCCUGGACGGGCGCUCGCUGGCCGCCGCGAGCUGCGCCACGGCGGGGCUCCGCGCGCUCGCCGCGGACCCGGACACGUGGCGCGCGCUCUGCCUCGCCGAGUGGCCGUCCCUCGCGGCCCAGCACUGGCUCCUCUCAGCGGUGCCGCCGCGCCGCCUCUUCGCCGACGCGUCCCCUUUCCCUUGCCCGGACGCCGGGGAGCCCGGCGCCGGCGGCCUCCCCGCGAGGCUCGUCUCCGCGGUGGACGUGUACUGCAGGGGCGCGCCCGUGCUGUCCCGCGUGGCGGAGACGCCCGCGUCGUCGCCGUGGUUCCUCAGCUCGCCGUUCCGCGUCGACGCCGUGGACUGCAAGAAGCCGGCGCCGGUGGCGGCGGCGUUCUCUCCGGCGGAGCUCGAGCUGAGCUGGGUGGUCGUCGACCCCGCCCGCGGCCGGGCGGUGAACGUGUCGAGCAGGCGGGCGGUGGCCCUGGGCCGGCACUGGUACACCGGCGAGACGCUGGUGUGGUUCGCGGUGGUGCUGGGCGGGUGCAACUUCGAGACCACCGUGGCCUGA